RNAcentral lists this long non-coding RNA (712 nucleotides) under Marmota monax (woodchuck). Lineage: Eukaryota; Metazoa; Chordata; Mammalia; Rodentia; Sciuridae. The record is from RNAcentral.
GUUUUGUUUUGGCCUUGCCUGGCAAUAAAUAUUUUAAUUUUUGUUUCAUUUUUAUGAUGACAAAUAAUUUUCAAGUUUAUUUCCUUUUUGUUUGUUUGCUUAAAUACAAAGCUAAACCACAAACAGGUACAACCAAGACAUUUUAUCUCACAUUUAAAGACUCCUGUAGGAUCCUCCUCCAAUUUGCUGACCACUAACCAGGCUAUUGGGGGUGGGGGGAAGACUUUCUUAGGUAGCACCGUCAUGAGGCCCAGGAUGGGGUAAGGAUGAGGACAGGUUCUCACACCAGUCUCCAUUCAUAUUUACCUGGGACCAGGGUGGACAGGAGCCCCAGCCCCAUGGACAGAAGGUGGACAGUGAGUGAGAAUCAGACCCCUGGGGAGGGAAGAGGAAGCCAGCUACUCCUCCUGGUAUCACAUUCAAGCUGAGAACUGAGCCUUGUCCUUGCUCCCUGGCUAAGGGCCCUGCCAGCUCCAUGUGCACCAGAUGCCUUUCUUUGAGGCUGGUGGAGAUGGCUGGGUGGGAUCCUGAGCUCUAGGCUCACAAUUCAGGUUGUGGCUGCGCUUCACAGGAAGGACACCAGGUGGUCUGACAACAGGAGGCCUCACAGCAGAUCUGGAACUUUCAACCCAGCAGAACUGGGCAGGUGGGUGAGGUGAUCGGGGAAUUAUUUUUGUUUUGAAAUAAAAUUUCACCUGUCUCACAUUGUUAU